GUGGUUAAGUUACUAAGGGCACACGGUGGAUGCCUUGGCGCUAGGAGCCGAAGAAGGACGCAGCGAACUGCGAUAAGCCUCGGGGAGCGGUAAGCACGCUUUGAUCCGGGGAUCUCCGAAUGGGGAAACCCACCAUCUGUAAUGGGAUGGUAUCCGUAUCUGAAUACAUAGGGUACGAGAAGGCAGACCCGGUGAACUGAAACAUCUAAGUAGCCGGAGGAAGAGAAAACAAUAGUGAUUCCGUCAGUAGUGGCGAGCGAACGCGGAAGAGCCUAAACCGUCGGGUUUACCCGGCGGGGUUGUGGGGCGUCUCACAUGGAGUUACAAAAGACGCGCGUAGGUGAACAGCUUGGGAAAGCUGACCAUAGAGCGUGAUAGUCGCGUAACCUAAACGCGCGUCUCUCCGAGACCAACCCCGAGUAGCGCGGGACACGUGAAAUCCCGUGUGAAUCUGGCAGGACCAUCUGCUAAGGCUAAAUACUACCUAGCGACCGAUAGUGAACCAGUACCGUGAGGGAAAGGUGAAAAGCACCCCGGGAGGGGAGUGAAAUAGUACCUGAAACCGUGUGCUUACAAAUAGUCGGAGCCCGUUAAAAGGGUGACGGCGUGCCUUUUGUAGAAUGAACCGGCGAGUUACGGUAGCGUGCGAGGUUAAGUUGAAGAGACGGAGCCGCAGCGAAAGCGAGUCUGAAUAGGGCGAUAGUACGCUGCCGUAGACCCGAAACCGUGUGAUCUAGCCAUGUCCAGGGUGAAGGUAGGGUAACACCUACUGGAGGCCCGAACCCACGCACGUUGAAAAGUGCGGGGAUGAGGUGUGGCUAGCGGUGAAAUUCCAAUCGAACUCGGAGAUAGCUGGUUCUCCCCGAAAUAGCUUUAGGGCUAGCCUCGGAAUUUAGAGUCUUGGAGGUAGAGCACUGAUUGGACUAGGGGCCCUCAUCGGGU
RNAcentral lists this ribosomal RNA (942 nucleotides) under Brevibacillus brevis. RNAcentral describes it as "bacterial LSU rRNA". It matches the Rfam family "Bacterial large subunit ribosomal RNA", at positions 1 to 936 of the family's 2925-position model. Lineage: Bacteria; Bacillati; Bacillota; Bacilli; Caryophanales; Paenibacillaceae. The record is from RNAcentral.